GGCCGGCUCGGGCCUUAGGCGACUUAGGCGGUCGCCUAAGGCCCCCGACCCACGGAAGGCCCCCAUCCCACGGUCCCCACUGCAUAGUUUUUUUUUUUAUUUAAUCUGUAGCCUUCUGCCUUUUCCAUCCGUCUCCAAUAGCUAGAGUCGUAGCUGGGCGCUGGCCUGGGCAGUGGGCCAUCAGGAAGAAAGGGAUUUGGUUGG
This 204-nucleotide long non-coding RNA is filed under the name Phoenix dactylifera (date palm). RNAcentral describes it as "long non-coding RNA (PDAC_LNC014102)". Lineage: Eukaryota; Viridiplantae; Streptophyta; Magnoliopsida; Arecales; Arecaceae. The record is from RNAcentral.